AUUUCGAGCAUUCUCUAUUGAACAGUCGUACAGUGAAGACGUGUUAUAAUUCAAAAGUUUAGUUUCUGGAAAGUGCCAGACAGUGAGUGAGCAACUCUUAGCAGCAGAAGAGUUGCAAUACGUGUGCAAACCUGUUAUACAUACAUAGAUUGUAAUGAAAAAAUGUGAAGGCUGUGAAGAAGAGUGUGAUAUGAUGAGGACGAGCAAAUGGCCUUCGUAACAGAGCGAGUGGUGUGAGUCAUGAGCAACUGCUGUCAAUCAACGCUCACCAGAAGCCUUUGGUCCGGAAUUCACACUCGUUUUCCUGCUCCUCGAAACGUUAAUGGCAACGAUGAGGAGGAACGGAACACUUGACAAACAACAAGAGCAGCCUCACCGAAACAGACAAACAUUAAAUCGAUGGGCAAUGAAAUCGAUACCUACCUACCUACCUGCAUCAUCAAUCAAUCCGAUAAUCGUCUGAUAUGAUUUUCGUUUUAUCACUGAGUGAGUCUUCACGUCUGUCCGUCUUCUACAUCCACAAUGGCAGCCAGUUGCACACCAGCCGAUCCUACACAGUUGGCCGAAACAGCAAAUUAGCAGCGGCAGCAGCAGCAGCAAACACCACCGAGUCUCCCUUAACCAAAAUGCCAGAUGCAGCUGACAGAUAAAUGGGGACAAGGCGGAAUUGCGCGCGGCAGCAGCAGCUUGAGCUCAACAGCAAACACGUGUGUGUGCCUUAGCUUCCUGGUCGGUUACCACCAUCACAACAAUCACUACCUACUAUACAUAAAGCGGUUAGCAGUUGCUGACGGCACCUACUACCACCAAUCCACACAGAUAUCUCUGCAUACACGCGGUAUUCGUAUAUCAGCUGCGAACGCAAAAACAAUUACUUUUUAAAACAGAUUUACAGCAAAAGGAAAACAUGAAAUGGAAUCUCUUCGUCGUUUCGUCGUCGUCGUCGUCGUCGUCAACAUCAUCAGCAACUUCUCAGCAUCGUCGUAUUCUACUUAUCGCUUCACUUCUUCACUUGAAUUUGGUGGCACGUAAGCCGUAUCGAAUUUUUCUUCUUGAUUAACUCUUGAAUUGCAGUUAAGAUAUACAAUGAAAAACUCUUAUCCACACACUCCAUGAAGAGUGAGGGGCUGCACACUUAUCUACAGAUUGAUAGAGGAAUUGGAAUUGGCGAACUUGUAUCGUAAUAUAGGAAGAAGUUUGAUAUUUUGUUUGUCACUAUUGCUAUGUUUAGCAUAAAUACGUGGGCUUCAAUUUUUUUGUAGCGACGCGUCACAGUUGAACAGUGCCUGUGAGCGUCUGGUUUCAUCAAUGGACACUCGCAUCCAUUCCUAGCAUUCAUGGUCUGAAAGUAUAAGAUCAACCUCCUUUAAACGACCGCCAUGAGGACACCUCCUAAACUUUAGGACACAACAUUUCUCGUUUAUAUAUAUUUUUUAGCGACGUGACGCAGUUGAACGGUGCCUGCGUGCGUCUGCAAGGAUAUGACCAAGCAAGACACAGAAUAUGUCCAAGUCAUCUUUUCUAUCAAUCAAGUUGCAAGUUUAGAAGUACGCCAGGAUUACAAGUCGAGAUAAAGAACUGGCCAAAAACUCGUAACUCGUUUCUUAAUACUUAACAAGAAAAAAUGUUGCGUUUGUUUCUCUUUUAGCAUUUUGAGCCUAUGGUCUGUUCAUUAAGAGCUGAAACCGAGAAACUAAUUUACGAACUUUGAUGGAUGGUCAUAAUCGUGGAUAGCGUAACUUUUACUAUUUUCUACUCUUAAUUUGGUUCUUGUAGCCAACAAAUAUGUUUCGUAAACGUGUUUAUAUGAUUUCCAGCCAGGCGGCAAAGACUAUAUAUCUGAACGACAGUGAGGUGGACAUAUUGUCCCGGACAAUGGUCGGAGGAACCUGUUGAGCACAAUAUCAAUAUAACAGAAAGACGAAAAGAAUCAAGCGUAAAUUUUGAGAUUUUGCCAAACAAAAACAUUUCUUUUUGUAUUUUAUAGCAAUAUGACGCAGUUGAACGGUGCCUGCGCGCAUAUUGGAAGUUGUUAAUCCCCAUAAAUAGGGUAAUACUUCUUGUAGUCAAGCGAGGAAACGCCAGCUAAAGGAUUUUCAUGUAAAUUAUGCGAUUUCCCCUGUGCAAAAUUCUUCCUUUUUGUAUCUUGUAGCUAAAUAACCGCAGUUGAAUGUGCCUGCGCAUAUCAGUCGGUAGCUUUCCAAAAUGAUAAAGGAUAAAGAUGCCGAGUCGGCGAGGAAGUGAAGACUUGGUACUUUACCAGGGGCACCCCUUAAAGACAUCAGCAACGAUAAAGGAUUUGUUACAGAAGUUUACUUUCUCUAUUUACCUCCAGCUUUAUUUCUAAGCAUGUCAUGUAUUAAUUGCAGUGACGUUUCUUGGUUGCUACCCUCUCGGAAAAGCGCACAUAAAACCGAAUACCCAUAGCAAAAUUUCUUGGGGCAAUGAGAAUGAAAUGCCAACUUGAAUGCAAAAUAACACCUCGACACUUGACCAACAUCAUCCCAGUCGAUAGAUAACCCUGUGAACUGAACUGAACUGAACUGUGAAGGUCAGCCCGACACUGAAUACAUCUUGAAUUGCUUAAAUAUGUUUUACAGCCAAAUGAAAAGACGAUAUUGAAGUACUUGCAUAAUAUACGUACAUUAAAGCCAUCAUCACAUAUUGCCAUCAUUAGAACAAGGAUAGGCCUUCCUUCUAUCACUUGGGAUUCAAUUCACGGCGUGAGAAAUUUGUUCGAUUACCAUUUUUGCUUUGCACUUUCACUUUUGCAGCGAUGUAUGAGACAGUUGAAUAAUGAGCUUAAGGCUACUGCAAAUUACGUUUUGGGAACGCUCUGGAGGUACAAUAUGUACACACGAAUUCUUUUUCUUUUCCAACUACUAGCUUUCACACUACAAAAUCGUUAAAGGGAAUCAAAAACGAUACAUCAAGUUCAUCCAGCUAGGUACAAUCUUCAAGCAAUGCCAGCACCACAACAACAAAAUGUUUAACAGCCGCUGCAGCUGCCUUUUGAUGGCCAAUGCGAGUCGAGUACAGAAAGAUUGGCGCUGAAUCACAGAUCCAAGUAGAUCGCUUUGUACCAUUGUACAAUUUAACGUUUUUACAUUACAGAAAACGUAAACUGCACGAUAUUGGGCAACAAUUGUCGUCUACUGGCUAAUGGCUAGUUGGUAGUUGAUGCACUCCAGCUCCUACGCACUCACGACCACUUAAACACGAGGAGCAGACUGUUCCCUCUAUUGAGGCGGCAUCACAGCCUAGCUCGGCCAAGACGAAGCUGGGUCAGCUCUCAGUCCAGCACGUAAUGCAUUGCACCGCAUAGAAAUAUGCGCUCGGUCCGCGCUAAAGGGAAACAAAUGCGUUUGGACCGAGACCCGCCACACCACACAAUCACCAGCACUCGCUUAAGAGGCGAGCUGAUGUGUUGUCGUUGUUAUCGGGCAGCUGCCUGCAAGUACGCUACCGGCAUUCAAGCAUCGUCGCCGCCGUCGCCUCGUCUCGCUUUCAGCAUUUUGUGCGUCCUGCAAAUGUAUGUAUUGUAGUAUGUGGUAGAGAAGCAGCUAUGAAGCCUUAACGAUCCGACCUGAGGAACUCGUGCUCGUGGCUUAUCGCAAAAGGGAAUCAAAUGCGACUAGUGUUCAAGCAUCAAAUUGAAUCCUGUGCAGCAGCAGUCGCGACAGAUGACAACGAUCAAGAGAUCGCAGAACAGACGGCGGUGGUGGUCGCACAUAUUUUUAACAGAAUAUAACCCCCCGGUAAUCAAAUCCAUCGCAAAGGGAAUCAAAUGCGAUUAGUGUUCGAUGACGAAGAAGCUAGCUAGUUGAAUCAGCUCUACGCUACGCUACGCUUCGAUUUGCCAGUUGAGCGCUUAACUCCUGGUGCACCGUUCAACAUUCCGCAAAUGGGAAACAAUUGCGAGGUGGUACUGCAGCAACGCACACACACACAGACACACUCUCACGCACACACAUGCGGGAUUACCUGUUAUGUGCCAGCCCAAAAAGAGCAUCCGAAUCCUCAAGAUGAAGAGCGCACCAUACAGCGAGCGAGCAAGCAAGCAGGCAGGCAGGGAAUCGAUGCCAGCAUCAUUUUGUAUAGCUGAUCUUUGUCGUCAUCUUUAUCCAUUUUGUUGUUGUUGUUGUUGGUGUGUACUUGUUUUUCAGAUAACUACUCUUCCAGCCUGGUCGACGUUCAGUCUGUCCAGCCAGCACACGUCAAGUUGUUCUCGAAGGGAAUCCAUGAGACACGCGCUACAUUUAUUUACAUGUAUCUUCUAUGUUAUUUUGCAUUUUUUUUUUUCGUUCUUUUUUGUAUCUUAGAUAUUUACGUAUUUUAGAUCAUACAAUGAAGUAUGUAUCUUUCCGUUGAGGCGAUCUCUAAUGCAAAAUGAAAAUCUUCUGGCCCAGAGCCUUUGUCAACUAUAAUAAUGUAUAUUGUACAGCCAUGUAAAUGUGCUCAAACAUGUUACCUUUUAAAAAUUGUAUAAGUUUUCGAUACUGGUAUUGUAAGAUUCAAUUGUAUUUGUAUUAUUGUAAAACUGUGACAUGUACAUAUUAGUAUGGCUUAAGAAACGGCAGGGACGAAUCGUUCGUAGAUGAACUCGACUGACGAGGAUCCCCUGGUGAUGUUCAGCCCGCCCGUAAUGUGAGAGAGUGAAGGAGCGACUUGAAUGAAACAACUUCAUUUCUCUACGGGCCUGCCCAUAUCUUUGUCUAUCGAUCUUCAGGGGCUCUCGAUGAGAGGGGAAGGGACGAGACAAUCAACCGUUCAAAUUUGGCUGGCAGAAAUAGCUACAACUCUGGGCGUACUUUUAAUUAUAACCUGAUCGACAAUUCAACCAUCCACCAUCCCAUGUGCUGAGAUUGAAUCUCUUCCGAGCUUGGUUGUUUUCCUAAGUCGAGUCAGAUGUCGGCGCAGCGCUUUUAAUCGACAUUUUCUUGUUGACGAGCUGGAGCUGCAAGGGUCCUUUAUAAUCAUCUUUUACGGCAUUGACGAUUUAUCACAAAACAAACACAUCUGCACGUACCUCUGGAGGUCUUCGUUAGGAACAAACCUUAAACUAGUUGGGAGCAUUUUCAUCUUUGUCACUACUGCAUCCAGUCCGAGGCAAAUAGGCAGAACUCAACCGAUUUUCGAACUACAAUUCUACUACUGCUACUACUAAUAUUGCGAAAACAAAUCAUCAUUUUCAUCGACACGACCGACCGCCUGCACAAAUCACCCUUCUCUUCGUACGAUGGCUAGCAUAUAUACGCAUAGGAUACUUUUUGAAUCUCUGGUUGGACAACUGCAGCCUCAACUUUAAGAAAUCUUGCUUCGCAUCGAUAAUACACACACAUUUCCCUGCAUUAGUGUUCGCUGGCAGCGAUAGGAACUUUCAUUAUUUUAUUCUGCUACUCCACUACUUUAUUCUACUACUCGACCCCCACACUAUAUGGCUGAAGAUGAGGCCGUUUAUUUCUGACGUUUUCUGAGAGGACAUCGUUUCGGGCAAUUAGGAUUUUUUUUGAGCAUUGAGAAUAUACUUUCUGACAUCUUGGAGCAACAACUGGUAUACUUUACGACGGCAGCGCGGGACUCAUAGAAUUGACUGCGGCGUGGGAUACCAUCAGAACUGACGGCGGCGAGGGAUUCGCAAAUUUUCGAUGUGGGACCUUUAGGGCUUCGGUUAGGCGAGGGCGCUAGGUACAACACUUCUAUAGGAUUAAUGAGGCGACGGUGUAUUGACUGCGGCGAGGGACUUUGCGGAGGACUUCGUGGGAUUUGCAAACUGACGGCGGCGGGGGAGUUGCGAGCGGACUGCUGCGUGGGAGCUCCUGACUGCGGCGUGGGAUCAUUGACGGCGGCGUGGGAGUUGCGCGACUGCAGCGUGGGAACAUUGACGGCGGCGUGGGAUUAUAUUCCAUUUUUAAAACAUCGGGGUUUGCUUUUCUUUAUGAUCAUCGUCGGUAUUCCCCAAGAACUACAACGUAGCGAAAAUCAUACGUUCAAAGCUGAUAUACUUACAUAAUUAGCUAUGCUCUACCUUUAUACAACCGUCAUCCAUAUAGAACCACCGACUUAGUGCUUAAUUGAACAUCAAUAACCUGCACCCUUGACCUAAUAACCCCAUGAGUGGAGCCAAUCAUCAUAUCAACAUAUCAACAUUUACUGUACUAUAUAAACGUUCCUGGAAUACCGGAAAGCAAUUUAACACGAUGAUCCAGAUAAUCUAAUGUCAUUUGAAAUCGGAUUAUCUGCGCAAUAAAUUUGGUUUGAAAGAA
Drosophila hydei is the source of this 6266-nucleotide long non-coding RNA. RefSeq lists it as uncharacterized. The record is from RefSeq and is a predicted model, not a curated record. The transcript is spliced from 4 exons. Lineage: Eukaryota; Metazoa; Arthropoda; Insecta; Diptera; Drosophilidae.